Molecule: non-coding RNA, 29 nt
Filed under: Rattus norvegicus (Norway rat)
Lineage: Eukaryota; Metazoa; Chordata; Mammalia; Rodentia; Muridae
Source: RNAcentral
UAAGAAGCCAACCUUGAGGGACCACUCAC